ACUAGUAAUAUAAAAACAAAUUCAAUAAGUACAAAUUGGGAAAUUCGGUGUAAAUCCGAAGCUGUGCCGCAACUGUAUUGAUUCAAUGAAUCUAAGCCAGGAUACCAAUUUGUAUGAAGCUCUUACU
Molecule: non-coding RNA, 127 nt
Filed under: Candidatus Melainabacteria
Lineage: Bacteria; Bacillati
Source: RNAcentral